GACGGAUCGGCAUAGGAAAGAAACGGAGCCAUUAACUGACCGGUGAACAGAAGAAAUGACCUCGCGAUCGCGCCGUGACAAGAAUCCGCAACCAAUGUUGAUCAAUGCUGCUGCAGUUCACGAGUUUAAUGCGAUCGAUGGAGAAUUUAAAAUCGCGAAAGUUCUCUAAAUGGUCAGUGAUGACUCACUCUUCCGAUAAUAUCACCGACGACAUUAUUAUCAGAAAACGGACCUACGGACCGAAUUAAUUUUCUCAGACACGAGCGGCAACUCGAUCGCGACCGCGUGGGCGAAAUUAGGUGUUCUCCAUUAGAGCGGUUCGAUCCGUUUACAUUCACCGACCGUAUGAUAGUGUGCACGAAAUCAGAAUACAGAAUACAGAAUACAUAAUGAGAAAGUCCAAGUCAUAUUGCAUGGAAAUACGAGACGACGACUGCUUUUCAAUUCAUAUGCCGAAGCUGCUCGUAUCGUCGUUACAUUUCCGCGAGGAGACGCACGCAACAAGAAGCCGGGUAGUCGCGGUGGUCGGCGGCCGUCAUUGAUCUCCUGUUAGAAUCGGAUCACUUCGAUGUAACAAGAUAAAUAGUCAGCGGGACACCGUCGGUGGUCGAGGGCGCGGAUCGCGGAGUCAUGCUGACUAUGUAUCUGAUCGAGAGAACCAAGUGCGCGCACGGUUGUCCGAUCCCGGGCGUACUUAACGUGUACACCGUUGAACAUUCUCUGAUCGCACGGCCAGGCCGAUGGGACACUUCUCGAUUCUCGAUUGACAGAAACUCGUCGAUCGUAGCGUGAGCUAGGAGUUAAAUAUUGUAAUUACUGGUAAUUGUAAAUACUGGUAAUUCUAUCCUCUGGCGUAACGAUAUUGCUUCACGUGGAUAAAAUAGCGAGCGAAUUAUAAUCGAUUUACGCUACGACGAUGAGAAAAGCGAUAGAUGAUUGACUAAGAAUCACCGAAGCAAGAACAGAAUCGGAUUGCGCAUCCAUCUAACCGCAAAUCUCACGACCUAACGACAAAUUCUCGCUUUAAUGUUUCUCAUAGCGCGCUCACUGGCGGGGAACCCCCCAGGCUUCCGAACAGCGCGAGCCCGAUCGGCUUUUUAUCCCGUGCCGGUUUUUGCACGAUCAUCGGGACUUUCGUCACGGCAACACCCGGGCACGUGACGCCAUGAACACGGUGUUACAGGUGUUCGCGCCCAUCCACAAUCUCGACUAUGAUGACAUCCUUUCGAAUCGAUUCGUCAGACUUUCCCUCUCUCCUGGACUUUUAUCGCAACGCCUCUGCCACCCGCGAGUGUGAAAUGGUAACGUUCUGGGAAAACGAUUGCACGAGACUAUCGGCCAACUGGCCGGUUCGUUCUACUUCGAGCCGCCAUCGUUCGUUUCUUCGUCGCUUACCGACGCGUUUCGCGUUUUUGUAUCCUGCGGCCGGUCGAAGACGGCCGCCAAUAACUUCGUUAAAUGUUUUUACUCAGAAUGCAGAAUCGAAGGUGGUGCUCCGGAAGUGCUUUGACACAAAACGUUUAAGCAGAUUUCUUUUUUCCACGGGAUCUCGGGAGCAUAGUUAUUGCGCCCGCAAUGUCGUUUUAAUUAUUUAAAAUGUUUCUUGACGUCUUAAAUUUUUAAGAAUAACAUAUUGAAGUUUUCGAGAAGUAUUGAAGUACGGUAGUGAUAAAUAUACCUUGAAUACAAUCGAAAUGUAUUAUAACUCUUUAGAAAAUAGGCGGAAGAAAGAAACGAUCGAUUCAAAUAAAAACAUUGAGAUUACAGAAGCUUCUGAUAGGGCGGCGAUUGGUAUCCACAUCGUUGCAAACACGGCCACGAUUAUAAGUGGUCCAGAUAACAAAAAAUAUCUAGUAAAACAAGCGAAGUGUGAUCGGUUACGCGCGAGAGGGUGGGCAUAAACGAUGAAAGGGGUGGCCCAGGGGUAUUGGCGAGGAGCUCGUCUGCUCGGUGAACCGUGGAUUAAGAUAAACCCUUCAUCGGUUUCUUGUCGAACGAUUCCUUCUCGUCCUUUUGUUGGCGCAGUCCGUAGAUAGCGCCGGCUUAAAGUACUUUCCGUCCUCGCGCAGAAAUUAUUUAACGCCGGUAUAUCUGCCCGACGGUGCGCGCGAAAGAUCCUCAACACGAUAGAAAGUAAUAGAAAGUGUGGAAGAGGAACAAAUGCGAGAGGAGUAAGUUUGAGAUUUGCAUUACCGCGGGGAAUAAAAAUUACUCACGCGAAAGCACGGAAAAGCGGAAAGUCUGCAAUUUUUACUUCUAGAAAUCUGAUAUCUCUUAUGGCGCAAUUUGUACAUUAAUAAUUACUGAAUUGAAUAUGAAGUAAUUCUAAAUAACUACAUAAGAAAAACUAGAUUUCAAAAAAUAUAAAUAUUCUUUCUAUUUUAAUAUUAAUUAUCAAACAAGCUUUCUCUUUAUAAAAUUCCUUUUUAAAAUAUUCCUUAACGAGUUUCUGGAUGAUAAAUUUCUAUCAAGUAAAACAUUCCACAAGGAAAUAUUCCGACGUAGAUGUCAUAGAUGACGCAUUGUGAUACUUUUUUCAUCUUCAUGGCGAGAACAGAUAUCGGUUUCAUGUUGUCGAUCGCGGAUUCCUUGCAUUUAGUAAUGGCGCUCGUUAAAGCCGCUAUAAAUAUGUAAGAUGAUACAUGCCAGAAUGAUUAAAGAGAGUAUUUGCUCCA
Molecule: long non-coding RNA, 2675 nt
Filed under: Pogonomyrmex barbatus (red harvester ant)
Lineage: Eukaryota; Metazoa; Arthropoda; Insecta; Hymenoptera; Formicidae
Description: uncharacterized LOC105427205
Source: RNAcentral